Molecule: long non-coding RNA, 1017 nt
Filed under: Heterocephalus glaber (naked mole-rat)
Lineage: Eukaryota; Metazoa; Chordata; Mammalia; Rodentia; Bathyergidae
Description: lncRNA (ENSHGLG00100041067.1)
Source: RNAcentral
AGCUGCACAGGAGGCUGAGGCUCCGAGGUUGCUCACAGCUGUCUGUGCAGCAUGCAGAAGAGCACAGCUUGGUUCUCAGAGCAAGACAACCCCACUCACUCCCACUGGUCAGAGGAACAGACUGGACAUGGGAGCCACACAGGAUGUCUCAGGAACCACAUUGCACUGGGCUUGGGCAGCACCUCUGCGUAGAACCAGAAGGCCAUGCCCAAGUUCAUGGGCAGAUGCCCCAACCACUCCAGUCCAGCAGGGGAGGACAGGGUCUUGACCCUUACUGUCCCCUUUGCCGUCCUACCCAAUGCAAAGGUGUCAGUAAGCGAUGCACCAGUGGGCCACUGUUUGCAGAAUGAAUAAUCAACCCUCACGUUGGUUCUAGAGAUUUCGGUUCAAAGCCCUGUGUGUUCCUCCCUGAAGUCUCUGCACUACCUAGACAUCUGGGCUGAUAACUGCACACGUUCCAAGACCUGCCACUGACAAAGUCCAUCAGUGAGCUAGGCCUCGUGGACACUCGCUUUUGAAAAUCUCAAGUAAAAGAAGGUCUUCAUUUCAAAACAUGAACUGCAGCCAACAGAAGAAACAUGUCUUUUCUUCUAUAAGAGUUUUUCCAGAAGAAAUCCUUUAAUAAUUCAGAAACGUGUAUCUCACAAAAAUGUUUCUAAAACUAACGGUCACCACGGGACAACAGGACAGCCACACCCUGUCUUCAGUCCAUUUCUUCACCAGCAGCAUAUUGCACAGUGCUGGCAGAGGAGUCUGGAGACUGCAGAAAGCAGGCCAAGAACGCCGAAGCACCACAUGGCAUUCUUCUCUUUGUAUCAUGUAUCCAUUUUCCUACAAAUGACUCCAGUUUUUCUUCACGGCAGAGUAUGUGAAAAUACCACAUUUUCUUUAUCUAUUCAUCUGUUGAUGGACAUACAGGCUGUUUCCAAGAUUCAGCUAGUAUGAACUGUGUAAACGUGAGUAUGCCUGUAACACUGUAAUAUGAUGCCUAACUAUUUCAGGACAGUACCUAGAAGG